AGGGAAGAGCUCAAAUUUGAAAGCUGGUACCUUCGGUAUCCGCGUUGUAACCUCGAGACACGUUUUCCGUGCGGCGCUAUGGACAAGUUCCUUGGAACAGGACAUCGUAGAGGGUGAAAAUCCCGUACUUGCCAUGGAUGUACCGUGCUUUGCGAUACGUGCUCUAAGAGUCGAGUUGUUUGGGAUUGCAGCUCAAAAUGGGUGGUAGACUCCAUCUAAAGCUAAAUAUCGGGGAGAGACCGAUAGCGAACAAGUACCGUGAGGGAAAGAUGAAAAGCACUUUGGAAAGAGAGUUAAAAGUACGUGAAAUUGUCGAAAGGGAAGCGCUUGAAGUCAGCCAUGCCGCUCAGGACUCAGCCUGGCUUUUGCUUGGUGUAUUUCCUGGGUAGCAAGUCAGCAUUGGUUUGGAUCGUCGGAGAAGCAUAGUUGGAAUGUGGCGCCCUCGGGCGUGUUAUAGCCUUCUAUUGGAUACGACGAUCUGGACCAAGGAACGCAGCGCGCCUUAUGGCGGGUCUUCGGACACCUUCGCGCUUAGGAUGCUGGCGUAAUGGCUUUAAGUGGCCCGUCUU
Molecule: ribosomal RNA, 569 nt
Filed under: Malassezia furfur
Lineage: Eukaryota; Fungi; Basidiomycota; Malasseziomycetes; Malasseziales; Malasseziaceae
Description: eukaryotic LSU rRNA
Rfam family: Eukaryotic large subunit ribosomal RNA
Source: RNAcentral